CUGUAUUUGCCACCGAAAUGCGUAUUCAUUCUUACACAUACGAUGGGACUAAAAUGGCAGUUUUACAAUCCAUGGUGUUACCGAACACCUACCUAUACACGGAAAUCCAAAGUUCCUCCUCUAAUGGCAUUGAAACACAUUACAACAGGUUCUUUAGUGUCUUCAAUCUUGACACCAAGCCAUUAGAAACACAUUACAACAGGUUCUUCAGUGUCCUUCAAUCUUGGCGCCAACCUCCAAAUUUGUGGGUCAUUACUUUCUGAAUGUCAGCAGGUGGUUCAGAAAGUGAUUCGCCGGACAUUGAAACCCGCCCGUGAUUUGCAAUUGAUUCUCUG
Molecule: long non-coding RNA, 335 nt
Filed under: Setaria italica (foxtail millet)
Lineage: Eukaryota; Viridiplantae; Streptophyta; Magnoliopsida; Poales; Poaceae
Description: long non-coding RNA (SITA_LNC006226)
Source: RNAcentral